Molecule: transfer RNA, 74 nt
Filed under: Camelus bactrianus (Bactrian camel)
Lineage: Eukaryota; Metazoa; Chordata; Mammalia; Artiodactyla; Camelidae
Also listed under: 2 other names
Rfam family: tRNA
About the family: Transfer RNA (tRNA) molecules are approximately 80 nucleotides in length. Their secondary structure includes four short double-helical elements and three loops (D, anti-codon, and T loops). Further hydrogen bonds mediate the characteristic L-shaped molecular structure. tRNAs have two regions of fundamental functional importance: the anti-codon, which is responsible for specific mRNA codon recognition, and the 3' end, to which the tRNAs corresponding amino acid is attached (by aminoacyl-tRNA synthetases). tRNAs cope with the degeneracy of the genetic code in two manners: having more than one tRNA (with a specific anti-codon) for a particular amino acid; and 'wobble' base-pairing, i.e. permitting non-standard base-pairing at the 3rd anti-codon position.
Source: Rfam by way of RNAcentral
GAGGGUAUAGCUCAAAGCAGUAGAGCACAUGCUUAGCAUACACGAGGUCCUGGGUUCAAUCCCCAGUACCUCUC